This 475-nucleotide ribosomal RNA is filed under the name uncultured bacterium. Its description in RNAcentral is "bacterial SSU rRNA". It matches the Rfam family "Bacterial small subunit ribosomal RNA", at positions 24 to 507 of the family's 1533-position model. The record is from RNAcentral.
UCAGGAUGAACGCUGGCGGCGUGCUUAACACAUGCAAGUCGAGCGGAGAUUUUUAGAAAGCUUGCUUUUUAAAAANCUUAGCGGCGGACGGGUGAGUAACGUGUGGGCAACCUGCCUCAUACAGUGGAAUAAUCACUGGAAACGACUGCUAAUACCGCAUAAUGUAUUCGGACCGCAUGAUCUGAAUACCAAAGCUUUAUGUGCUGAGAGAUGGCCUCGCGUCUGAUUAGCUAGUUGGUGGGGUAACGGCCCACCAAGGCGACGAUCAGUAGCCGGUCUGAGAGGUUGAUCGGCCACAUUGGGACUGAGACACGGCCCAGACUCCUACGGGAGGCAGCAGUGGGGAAUAUUGCACAAUGGAGGAAACUCUGAUGCAGCGACGCCGCGUGAGGGAAGAAGGUAUUCGUAUUGUAAACCUCUGUCUUCGGGGACGAUAAUGACGGUACCCGAGGAGGAAGCACCGGCUAACUACGUG